GACGAACGCUGGCGGCGCGCUUAACACAUGCAAGUCGAACGGAAAGGCCUGCUUUCCCUUGUGGAUUGCGGGUACUCGAGUGGCGAACGGGUGAGUAACACGUGAGUGAUCUGCCCCCAACUUGGGUAUAAGCCUGGGAAACUGGGUCUAAUUCCCGAUAGGACUGCAGGGUGGUGCCUGUGGUGGAAAACGAUUUUCUAGUGGUUGGGGAUGAGCUCGCGGCCUAUCAGCUUGUUGGUGGGGUAAUGGCCUACCAAGGCGGCGACGGGUAGCCGGCCUGAGAGGGUGGACGGCCACAUUGGGACUGAGAUACGGGCCAGACUCCUACGGGAGGCAGCAGUGGGGAAUAUUGCACGAGGGGCGGAAGCCUGAUGCAGCGACGCCGCGUGGGGGAUGACGGCCUUCGGGUUGUAAACUCCUUUCGACCGCGAGGAAGCCACCUGGUUGGAAGGGUGGUGACGGUAGUGGUAGAAGAAGCACCGGCUAACUACGUG
RNAcentral lists this ribosomal RNA (494 nucleotides) under uncultured bacterium. RNAcentral describes it as "partial 16S ribosomal RNA". It matches the Rfam family "Bacterial small subunit ribosomal RNA", at positions 28 to 507 of the family's 1533-position model. The record is from RNAcentral.